Molecule: long non-coding RNA, 618 nt
Organism: Cyanistes caeruleus (blue tit)
Lineage: Eukaryota; Metazoa; Chordata; Aves; Passeriformes; Paridae
Source: RefSeq, a predicted model, not a curated record
AGCAGAGAAUUAAUGUCAAGUCAGCUUGGUUUGAAAGGUCAAAGGAAAUUGUAUUUUAGGAGGCAGUAAAAAAGCUGUCUAUUUGCACGGCUUUAAAUAAAAAUUUUGUGUAUGGGAAAAUUCUUACAGAAACCCUCACUAAGGGGGACCUAGUUUUGAUUCAAGUGUUGGCAUGAACUGUUGCUAACUCUCCUUAAGAGAGUUCUGCAACACCCUCAAUUGCUCUUGAAGGAAGAGUUUGCAGAGAGAGAAGGUAGAGGAGUGAUCACUGUCCCCAUUGAUAUACUGCCAUGUGGUGAAAUAGAUCAACCCAUCUGGAAACUGGACACCAAGAAAUAUGUACCAGCCUUUAACACAGGUGGAUCUUCUAAAGUGGAGGUUUCGUUACUCUGUCCCCACCAUAAUGUGAUUUUUUUCUGAAUUCCACUGCAUGCUAAAGCAGAGAGAUCCUGGUUUGGGCACAGAUCCUCCAUCUUCCAGAUCAUGGUGAUCCUAGUGACACGCUCGGAGGUUCACAUCCGUGUAGGUCAUGUUACUGGAGCUGUAGAGGUUGAUCAUAGUACGGCAUUCAGAAUAAAAUCAUUUUGGUGAGGAGGUAUUUUACCUCCUCUCAGCUGG